Molecule: transfer RNA, 70 nt
Filed under: Hirudinaria manillensis
Lineage: Eukaryota; Metazoa; Annelida; Clitellata; Hirudinida; Hirudinidae
Description: Poecilobdella manillensis tRNA-Tyr
Source: RNAcentral
GAUAUGCUAGUUUAAAGAAAACAUUAAAUUGUAAAUUUAAAAUUAUUCUUUGCAUGUUAAAUGUAUAUUU